Molecule: signal recognition particle RNA, 272 nt
Filed under: Candidatus Woesearchaeota archaeon
Lineage: Archaea; Nanobdellati; Candidatus Woesearchaeota
Description: signal recognition particle sRNA
Rfam family: Archaeal signal recognition particle RNA
Source: RNAcentral
GGGCAGGCUAGGUCGGGAGGUUAGCACUCUCCUGUCGCCGUGAACGUGCUUCACACGGGACCGAAGCCUGGGAAGAGGCAUUGACAAGUCCACAUGUCUUGCGCAGGACGUUGACGUUCUGUCCUGCAGGAUUGACGUUGUGGGAAUCGCGCCAGGCGGGGAACCGAGCAACGCUCACCAUCGCGCUCAAUGCUUGCGGGGGCUCGGAACCGAGGAAUGCGUGAGGUUCAACGUGUGUACUCUCAGUGUACCAUUCUCGGGUGCGCUUGCCC